UACGUAGGUGGCAAGCGUUGUCCGGAUUUACUGGGCGUAAAGGGCGUGCAGGCGGUUUGUUAAGUGCAGGGUGAAAGCUCCCGGCUCAACUGGGAGAGGUCCUUGCAUACUGGCAAACUCGAGGGAGGCAGAGGAAAGUGGAAUUCCCGGUGUAGUGGUGAUAUGCGUAGAUAUUGGGAGGAACACCUGUGGCGAAGGCGGCUUUCUGGGCCUUACCUGACGCUGAGACGCGAAAGCGUGGGGAGCGAACCGG
This 253-nucleotide ribosomal RNA is filed under the name uncultured bacterium. RNAcentral's name for it is "partial 16S ribosomal RNA". It matches the Rfam family "Bacterial small subunit ribosomal RNA", at positions 524 to 776 of the family's 1533-position model. The record is from RNAcentral.